UUUCAGACUUUAGAAGCUGCCGAGGCGGCCGUCAAGACACUCUUGGGAGCUGACAUGCGAACAGCAGCGGAGAAGCAGGCAGCUGGAAACCGCCCACCUUCGGAGAGUGAACGUUUUUGGGUGGAGAUACAGCAUGCCAAAGCCCCCGCAGCCCCAGUGAAAGCAAAGCCUUCUC
Molecule: non-coding RNA, 175 nt
Filed under: uncultured Symbiodinium
Lineage: Eukaryota; Dinophyceae; Suessiales; Symbiodiniaceae
Source: RNAcentral